RNAcentral lists this transfer RNA (72 nucleotides) under Chitinophagaceae bacterium. Its description in RNAcentral is "tRNA-Arg". It matches the Rfam family "tRNA". From Rfam's summary of the family: Transfer RNA (tRNA) molecules are approximately 80 nucleotides in length. Their secondary structure includes four short double-helical elements and three loops (D, anti-codon, and T loops). Lineage: Bacteria; Pseudomonadati; Bacteroidota; Chitinophagia; Chitinophagales; Chitinophagaceae. The record is from RNAcentral. RNAcentral also lists the same sequence under 1 other name.
GGCUCCGUAGUUCAACGGAUAGAAUGAAGGUUUCCGGUACCUUAGAUGGGGGUUCGAUUCCCUCCGGAGCUA